This 450-nucleotide ribosomal RNA is filed under the name uncultured bacterium. RNAcentral's name for it is "partial 16S ribosomal RNA". It matches the Rfam family "Bacterial small subunit ribosomal RNA", at positions 338 to 795 of the family's 1533-position model. The record is from RNAcentral.
CCUACGGGUGGCUGCAGUGGGGAAUUUUGGACAAUGGGCGCAAGCCUGAUCCAGCCAUGCCGCGUGGGUGAAGAAGGCCUUCGGGUUGUAAAGCCCUUUCGGCCGGGAAGAAAUCGUGCGGGCGAACAGUCUGCAUGGAUGACGGUACCGGAAGAAGAAGCACCGGCUAACUACGUGCCAGCAGCCGCGGUAAUACGUAGGGUGCGUGCGUUAAUCGGAAUGAUUGGGGGCAGAGCCAGAGGACGCGGCUGAAAUCCCCGGGCUUAACCGGGGAACUGCGGUUGUGACUGUGGUGCUAGAGUACGGCAGAGGGAGGUGGAAUUCCUGGUGUAGCAGUGAAAUGCGUAGAGAUCAGGAGGAACACCGAUGGCGAAGGCAGCCUCCUGGGCUGAUACUGACGCUCAUGCACGAAAGCGUGGGGAGCAAACAGGAUUAGAUACCCUGGUAGUC